CACGUAGGGCGCAAGCGUUGUCCGGAAUUAUUGGGCGUAAAGAGCUCGUAGGCGGUCUGUUGCGUCUGCUGUGAAAACCCGGGGCUUAACCCCUGGCUUGCAGUGGAUACGGACAGACUAGAGGUCGGUAGGGGAGUGUGGAAUUCCUGGUGGAGCGGUGAAAUGCGCAGAUAUCAGGAGGAACACCCGUAGCGAAGGCGGCGCUCUGGGCCGAUUCUGACACUGAGGAGCGAAAGCGUGGGGAGCGAACAGG
RNAcentral lists this ribosomal RNA (253 nucleotides) under uncultured bacterium. RNAcentral describes it as "partial 16S ribosomal RNA". It matches the Rfam family "Bacterial small subunit ribosomal RNA", at positions 524 to 776 of the family's 1533-position model. The record is from RNAcentral.